AGUGAACGCUGGCGGUAGGCCUAACACAUGCAAGUCGAACGGCAGCACAGUAAGAGCUUGCUCUUACGGGUGGCGAGUGGCGGACGGGUGAGGAAUACAUCGGAAUCUACUUUUUCGUGGGGGAUAACGUAGGGAAACUUACGCUAAUACCGCAUACGACCUACGGGUGAAAGCAGGGGAUCUUCGGACCUUGCGCGAUUGAAUGAGCCGAUGUCGGAUUAGCUAGUUGGCGGGGUAAAGGCCCACCAAGGCGACGAUCCGUAGCUGGUCUGAGAGGAUGAUCAGCUACACUGGAACUGAGACACGGUCCAGACUCCUACGGGAGGCAGCAGUGGGGAAUAUUGGACAAUGGGCGCAAGCCUGAUCCAGCCAUACCGCGUGGGUGAAGAAGGCCUUCGGGUUGUAAAGCCCUUUUGUUGGGAAAGAAAAGCAGCAGGUUAAUACCCCGCUGUUCUGACGGUACCCAAAGAAUAAGCACCGGCUAACUUCGU
This 491-nucleotide ribosomal RNA is filed under the name uncultured bacterium. Its description in RNAcentral is "partial 16S ribosomal RNA". It matches the Rfam family "Bacterial small subunit ribosomal RNA", at positions 29 to 506 of the family's 1533-position model. The record is from RNAcentral.